GUUCUGUCGAAGGACUUGCUUAUCACAGAGCCUGGGAUACACUGUACUGGACCAGUUCCACUACCUCAUCCAUCACCAGACACACAGUGGACCAGACUCGGCCAGGAGCAUUUGACAGGGAAGCAGUCAUUGCCAUGUCAGAAGAUGACCACCCACAUGUGCUAGCCCUGGAUGAAUGCCAAAACUUAAUGUUUUGGACCAACUGGAAUGAACAGCAUCCAAGUAUCAUGAGAUCCACCCUAACGG
Long non-coding RNA from Lynx canadensis (Canada lynx), 246 nucleotides. RefSeq lists it as uncharacterized. The record is from RefSeq and is a predicted model, not a curated record. NCBI's taxonomy places the organism in Eukaryota, Metazoa, Chordata, Mammalia, Carnivora, Felidae. The transcript has 2 exons.